Molecule: long non-coding RNA, 720 nt
Organism: Uranotaenia lowii
Lineage: Eukaryota; Metazoa; Arthropoda; Insecta; Diptera; Culicidae
Exons: 3
Source: RefSeq, a predicted model, not a curated record
CAAAAUAACACCGUCGGGCGAUCGGUUAGGUGCUUUAUCGUUUUCGCAGAUUCGGGAAACAACAAUGUUGUCAAUUUGGCGACCAUCAGCUGCAAUGGCAAAACAGUGUUAUGCAGUUACAAGGAUUCCACGGAUCUCGAAGCGAAAGGUGCAAAAAUCAUCCGGAUCGUGCUGUUUAGGAACACAUGCAGCACAGUUCGGACGGCCGCUGUCCGGGCAAAGCAGAUAAUCAUGUCCGCAAUUAUGCCUUUUCACAAGCACCGGGGAUCUGUUAAAUAUCAUCGCCAGUCGGAAAACAUUUUAAGCUGUCGGUUCCGAAAAGCUUCGCAAAAGUUGUACGGAAACCAGAAUUUUCCGCCAGCAGAGUGGAGCAGUAACAUAUUUUCAUCCAGAAGACGUAGCAUUCCAGCAAAUAAGAGCGAAGUAUAACAUCAUCCAGCUCAAGGGUUUGCCCGAAUGAUUCUUCUCCAAACAUCCACAUCCAAACCAAGAUGACCUUUGGACUAAGUUUUGACCCUCAAUUCCACAAGUAGCCGUUUGCGGGUUUCCAACUGGCAGAAAAAGUAAUCCAAAAUUCGGUUUGCCGACUAAAACGAAACGCAGAAUAGUGCUUGUGGAUUGUGUUUUGCCAAUGCCGGAAGUGUAGUGAAAGUUGUAUUUUUUUUUAUCUGCCUUAAAAUGAAUUGAAGAAAAUAAAAAUGAUAAUUCAAAAACUGUUUA